CAAUAGCGUAUAUUAAAGCUGUUGCGGUUAAAAAGCUCGUAGUUGGAUUUCUGUCAAGGACAACUGGUCCGCCCCUCGGGUGAGCACAUAGUUUGGUCUUGGCAUCUUGUUGGAAACUGUUGCUGCACUUGGUUGUGUGGCGCAGUGUCCAGCACUUUCACUUUGAGGAAAUUGGAGUGUUUCAAGCAGGCACAUGCCUUUGGACACAGUAGCAUGAAAUAAUUAGAUUGGGCUUUUGCUCCAACUUGUCGGUUUCUGGAGCUGAGGUGAGAAUUAAUGGGGAUUGUUGGGGGCAUCCGAAUUUAGCCGUCAGAGGUGAAAUUCUUGGAUCUGCUAAAGACGGACAACUGCGAAAGCGUUUGCCCAGGAUGUUUUCAUUGA
This 381-nucleotide ribosomal RNA is filed under the name uncultured eukaryote. RNAcentral describes it as "partial 18S ribosomal RNA". It matches the Rfam family "Eukaryotic small subunit ribosomal RNA", at positions 592 to 976 of the family's 1831-position model. The record is from RNAcentral.